This 69-nucleotide transfer RNA is filed under the name Loxodonta africana (African savanna elephant). It matches the Rfam family "tRNA". Rfam says of the family: Transfer RNA (tRNA) molecules are approximately 80 nucleotides in length. Lineage: Eukaryota; Metazoa; Chordata; Mammalia; Proboscidea; Elephantidae. The record is from Rfam by way of RNAcentral.
GCAUUGAUGGUUCAGUGCAAAUUCUUGCCUUCCAUGCAGGGGACCUGGGUUCGAUUCCUGGCCAAUGCA